AGCGAACGCUGGCGGCAGGCCUAACACAUGCAAGUCGAACGAACUCUUCGGAGUUAGUGGCGGACGGGUGAGUAACACGUGGGAACGUGCCUUUUGGUUCGGAAUAACUCAGGGAAACUUGUGCUAAUACCGAAUGUGCCCUUCGGGGGACAGAUUUAUCGCCAUUAGAGCGGCCCGCGUCUGAUUAGCUAGUUGGUGAGGUAACGGCUCACCAAGGCGACGAUCAGUAGCUGGUCUGAGAGGAUGACCAGCCACACUGGGACUGAGACACGGCCCAGACUCCUACGGGAGGCAGCAGUGGGGAAUCUUGCGCAAUGGGCGAAAGCCUGACGCAGCCAUGCCGCGUGAAUGAUGAAGGUCUUAGGAUUGUAAAAUUCUUUCACCGGGGACGAUAAUGACGGUACCCGGAGAAGAAGCCCCGGCUAACUUCGUG
Molecule: ribosomal RNA, 433 nt
Filed under: uncultured bacterium
Lineage: Bacteria
Description: partial 16S ribosomal RNA
Rfam family: Bacterial small subunit ribosomal RNA
Source: RNAcentral